AAUUGUAGUUAGAAUUUUGGAAAUGGAGUCAGAAACACUUCGAAAUGCGUGUCCCCUCAUGACUUCCCUCCACACCUUGCCUCAUAUUUUAAUCCCUUUUUCUCUCUACAUAUUUUCCUGCCUUUUUCUCCCCUCACAUUUCCCACGUUUUUUCCCCUCACACUUUCUGCAUUUUUCCUCUCCUCACACUUUCCUGCCUUUUUUCCCCUCAUUUUCCUCCCUUUUUCCCCCCUCACACUUUCCCGCCUUCUUCUUCCCUCACAAUUCCCAUCUUCUUCCUCUCCUCACAUUUUCUUCCCUUUUUCUCCCCUCACACUUUCCCACCUUAUUUCCCCUCACCUCACACUUUCUGCAUUUUUCCUCUCCUCACACUUUCUGCAUUUUUCCUCUCCUCACAUUUUUCUCCCCUCACAAUUUCCUGCUAUUUUUCCCCUCACAAUUUCCUUUUUUUUUUUUCCCCUCACACUUUCCCGUUUUUUUUUCCCCUCAGAACUUCCUGCCUUUUUUUUCCCCCUCACACUUUCCCGCCUUUUUUUUCCCCUCACAAUUUCCUAAUUUUUUUUUCCCCUCACAAAUUCCCGCCUUUUUUUCCCCUCAGAAUUUCCCUUUUUCCCCUCACACUUUCCCGCCUUUUUUUCCCCUCAGAAUUUCCCGCCUUUUUCCCCCUCACACUUUCCUGCUUUUUUCCUCUCCUCACAUUUUUCUCCCUUUUUCUCCCCUCACACUUUCUGCAUUCUUCCUCUCCUCACAAUUCCCCACUUUUCCUCUCCUCACAUUUUUCUCCCCUCACAAUUUCCUGCUAUUUUUCAUUUUUCCCCUCACAAUUUCCUAAUUUUUUUUUCCCCUCACAAAUUCCCGCCUUUUUUCCCCUCAGAAUUUCCCGCCUUUUUCCUCCCUUCACAAAUUCCCGCCUUUUUUUCCCCUCACACUUUCCCGCCUUUUUCCUCCCCUCACUUUCCUGCUUUUUUCAUCUCCUCACAUUUUUCUCCCUUUUUCUCCUCUCACAUUUCCCCACUUUUCCCCUCACACUUUCCACAUUUUUCUCCCCUCACAAUUUCCUGCUAUUUUUCCCCUCACAAAUUCCCGCCUUUUUUUUCCCCCUCACAAAUUCCCACCUUUUUUCCCCCUCACACUUUCCUGCUUUUUUUUCUCCCCUCACAUUUUCCUCCCUUUUUCUUCCCUCACAAUUCCCCACAAUUCCAGGUUUUUGAGGAUUUUGGGGUACUUUGAGGUACCUGCAUCCAGCGUUUUGAGGAUUUUGGGGGAGUUUUGAUGAUUUUGGGAGGUUUUGAUGAUUCCGGGGUACCUGCACCCAGGUUUUUGAGGAUUUUGGGUGGUUUUGAUGAUUUUUUGAGGUUCUGAUGAUUUCAGGGUACCUGCCCCCAGGUUUUCGAGGAUUUUGGGGUACUUGGGGUACUUGCGUCCAGCGUUUUGAGGAUUUGGGGGGGGGUUUGAUGGUUUUGGGGGGGUUUUGAGGAUUUUGGGGUACUUUGGGGUACCUGCACCCGUGUUUUUGAUGAUUCUGGGGUACCUGGCCCCAGGUUUUUAAGAUUUUUGGGGUACUUUGGGGUACCUGCCUCCAGGAUUUUGAUGAUUCUGUGGUACCUGCCCCCAGGUUUUCGAGGAUUUCGGGAGGUUUUGAUGAUUUUGGGGUACCUGUCUCCAGGUUUUGAUGAUUGUGUGCUACCUGCCCCAGGUUUUUGAUGAUUUUGGGGAACUUGGGGUACCUGCCCCCAGGUUUUCGAGGAUUUUGGGAUACCUGCCCCCAGGUUUUUGAUGAUUUUGGGGUACCU
This 1793-nucleotide long non-coding RNA is filed under the name Lonchura striata (white-rumped munia). Its description in RNAcentral is "domestica (Bengalese finch) lncRNA (ENSLSDG00000004149.1)". Lineage: Eukaryota; Metazoa; Chordata; Aves; Passeriformes; Estrildidae. The record is from RNAcentral.